RNAcentral lists this unclassified non-coding RNA (417 nucleotides) under soil metagenome. Its description in RNAcentral is "partial contains 5.8S ribosomal RNA, internal transcribed spacer 2, and large subunit ribosomal RNA". The stretch from base 1 to 120 matches the Rfam family "5.8S ribosomal RNA", at positions 35 to 154 of the family's 154-position model. The record is from RNAcentral.
GAUGAAGAACGUAGCGAAAUGCGAUAAGUAAUGUGAAUUGCAGAAUUCAGUGAAUCAUCGAAUCUUUGAACGCAUCUUGCGCUCCUUGGUAUUCCUUGGAGCAUGCCUGUUUGAGUAUCAUGAGCAAAUCUCAAAGUCAAUUCCUUUUGUUGAUUCAAUUGGUUUUGCUUUGGACUUGGAGGCCUUGCAGAUUUCACAGUCUGCUCCUCUUAAAUGCAUUAGCUGGAUCUCAGUAAUUAUGCUUGGUUCCACUCGGCGUGAUAAGUAUCACUCGCUGAGGACACUGUUAAAAAGGUGGCCAGGAAAAUACUGAUUGAACCGCUUCUAACGGUCUAUUAAGUUAGACAAUUACCCUUAAGUUUGAUCUCAAAUCAGGUAGGACUACCCGCUGAACUUAAGCAUAUCAUAAGCGGAGGA